UGUGCCAGAGAGGUGUACUUCUCUUGGGA
Molecule: non-coding RNA, 29 nt
Filed under: Mus musculus (house mouse)
Lineage: Eukaryota; Metazoa; Chordata; Mammalia; Rodentia; Muridae
Source: RNAcentral